UACGUAGGUGGCAAGCGUUGUCCGGAUUUACUAGGCGUAAAGAGCGCGCAGGCGGUCGUAUAAGUCGAAUGUGAAAGCCCCCGGCUCAACUGGGGAGGGUCAUUCGAUACUGUUCGACUCGAAGGCAGGAGAGGGAAGUGGAAUUCCGGGUGUAGUGGUGAAAUGCGUAGAUAUCCGGAGGAACACCAGUGGCGAAGGCGACUUUCUGGCCUGUUCUUGACGCUGAGGCGCGAAAGCUAGGGGAGCAAACGGG
RNAcentral lists this ribosomal RNA (253 nucleotides) under uncultured bacterium. Its description in RNAcentral is "partial 16S ribosomal RNA". It matches the Rfam family "Bacterial small subunit ribosomal RNA", at positions 524 to 776 of the family's 1533-position model. The record is from RNAcentral.